AGUCGAACGGUGAUGUCAGAGCUUGCUCUGGCGGAUCAGUGGCGAACGGGUGAGUAACACGUGAGUAACCUGCCCCCGACUCUGGGAUAACUGCUAGAAAUGGUAGCUAAUACCGGAUAUGACGAUUGGCCGCAUGGUCUGGUCGUGGAAAGAAUUUCGGUUGGGGAUGGACUCGCGGCCUAUCAGGUUGUUGGUGAGGUAAUGGCUCACCAAGCCUACGACGGGUAGCCGGCCUGAGAGGGUGACCGGCCACACUGGGACUGAGACACGGCCCAGACUCCUACGGGAGGCAGCAGUGGGGAAUAUUGCACAAUGGGCGAAAGCCUGAUGCAGCAACGCCGCGUGAGGGAUGACGGCCUUCGGGUUGUAAACCUCUUUUAGUAGGGAAGAAGCGAAAGUGACGGUACCUGCAGAAAAAGCACCGGCUAACUACGUGCCAGCAGCCGCGGUAAUACGUAGGGUGCAAGCGUUGUCCGGAAUUAUUGGGCGUAAAGAGCUCGUAGGCGGUUUGUCGCGUCUGCUGUGAAAUCCCGAGGCUCAACCUCGGGUCUGCAGUGGGUACGGGCAGACUAGAGUGCGGUAGGGGAGAUUGGAAUUCCUGGUGUAGCGGUGGAAUGCGCAGAUAUCAGGAGGAACACCGAUGGCGAAGGCAGAUCUCUGGGCCGUAACUGACGCUGAGGAGCGAAAGCAUGGGGAGCGAACAGGAUUAGAUACCCUGGUAGUCCAUGCCGUAAACGUUGGGAACUAGAUGUGGGGACCAUUCCACGGUCUCCGUGUCGCAGCUAACGCAUUAAGUUCCCCGCCUGGGGAGUACGGCCGCAAGGCUAAAACUCAAAGGAAUUGACGGGGGCCCGCACAAGCGGCGGAGCAUGCGGAUUAAUUCGAUGCAACGCGAAGAACCUUACCAAGGCUUGACAUAUACCGGAAACAUGCAGAAAUGUGUGCCCCGCAAGGUCGGUAUACAGGUGGUGCAUGGUUGUCGUCAGCUCGUGUCGUGAGAUGUUGGGUUAAGUCCCGCAACGAGCGCAACCCUCGUUCUAUGUUGCCAGCACGUAAUGGUGGGAACUCAUAGGAGACUGCCGGGGUCAACUCGGAGGAAGGUGGGGAUGACGUCAAAUCAUCAUGCCCCUUAUGUCUUGGGCUUCACGCAUGCUACAAUGGCCGGUACAAAGGGCUGCGAUACCGUAAGGUGGAGCGAAUCCCAAAAAGCCGGUCUCAGUUCGGAUUGAGGUCUGCAACUCGACCUCAUGAAGUCGGAGUCGCUAGUAAUCGCAGAUCAGCAACGCUGCGGUGAAUACGUUCCCGGGCCUUGUACACACCGCCCGUCAAGUCAUGAAAGUCGGUAACACCCGAAGCCAGUGGCCUAACCGCAAGGGAGGAGCUGUCGAA
This 1389-nucleotide ribosomal RNA is filed under the name Clavibacter michiganensis subsp. michiganensis. Its description in RNAcentral is "16S ribosomal RNA". It matches the Rfam family "Bacterial small subunit ribosomal RNA". Lineage: Bacteria; Bacillati; Actinomycetota; Actinomycetes; Micrococcales; Microbacteriaceae. The record is from RNAcentral.